This 274-nucleotide ribosomal RNA is filed under the name uncultured bacterium. RNAcentral describes it as "partial 16S ribosomal RNA". It matches the Rfam family "Bacterial small subunit ribosomal RNA", at positions 523 to 796 of the family's 1533-position model. The record is from RNAcentral.
AUACGGAGGGGGCUAGCGUUGUUCGGAAUUACUGGGCGUAAAGCGUCCGCAGGCGGAUAAUUAAGUUAGAGGUGAAAUCCCAGGGCUCAACCCUGGAACUGCCUUUAAAACUGGUUAUCUAGAGUUAUGGAGAGGUAAGUGGAAUUCCUAGUGUAGAGGUGAAAUUCGUAGAUAUUAGGAGGAACACCAGAGGCGAAGGCGGCUUACUGGACAUAUACUGACGCUGAGGGACGAAAGUGUGGGGAGCGAACGGGAUUAGAAACCCCAGUAGUCC